RNAcentral lists this ribosomal RNA (253 nucleotides) under uncultured bacterium. RNAcentral describes it as "partial 16S ribosomal RNA". It matches the Rfam family "Bacterial small subunit ribosomal RNA", at positions 524 to 776 of the family's 1533-position model. The record is from RNAcentral.
UACGAACCGAGCGAACGUUGUUCGCAAUCACUGGGCUUAAAGGGUGCGUAGGCGGGCUGCCAAGUUUGGGGUGAAAUCCUCCGGCUCAACCGGGGAAGUGCCUCGAAUACUGGCGGUCUGGAGGGAGGUAGGGGCGUGCGGAACUAACGGUGGAGCGGUGAAAUGCGUUGAUAUCGUUAGGAACUCCGGUGGCGAAGGCGGCACGCUAGACCUCUUCUGACGCUGAGGCACGAAAGCCAGGGGAGCGAACGGG